AUACGAAGGUCCCAAGCGUUAUUCGGAAUCACUGGGCGUAAAGAGUACGUAGGCGGUUUGGUAAGUCAGGUGUGAAAUCCCGAAGCUCAACUUCGGAACUGCAUCCGAUACUGCCAGACUAGAGUAAUGGAGAGGCAGGUGGAAUUCUCGGUGUAGCAGUGAAAUGCGUGGAUAUCGAGAGGAAGACCAAUGGCGAAGGCAGCCUGCUGGACAUUUACUGACGCUGAGGUGCGAAGGCUAGGGGAGCGAAAGGGAUUAGAAACCCCGGUAGUCC
This 274-nucleotide ribosomal RNA is filed under the name uncultured bacterium. RNAcentral's name for it is "partial 16S ribosomal RNA". It matches the Rfam family "Bacterial small subunit ribosomal RNA", at positions 523 to 796 of the family's 1533-position model. The record is from RNAcentral.